AAGUCGUAACAAGGUUUCCGUAGGUGAACCUGCGGAAGGAUCAUUAUAAAAUGCUUAAACGCAUCCACCUUUUGUGCAUUGUAAACUGUCCCUUUGGCGAUGCUUCGAAUUUUAAUGCGGUUGCAUUAUAAUUUGACUUGCAUUUAGGCCGGAUUCGCGUUUAGACGCGUUUUCCCGCCAGGGUGUCAAGCGGCUCGCCGAAGGAUUCUAUUAAACACUAUUUAAACUUGGCCUGAAUGUAUUUAUUCCUUCGAGAAUAAAAAAUCUUAAUAAAAUACAACUUUUAACAACGGAUCUCUUGGCUCUCC
RNAcentral lists this unclassified non-coding RNA (308 nucleotides) under fungal sp. Its description in RNAcentral is "partial internal transcribed spacer region". The stretch from base 1 to 46 matches the Rfam family "Eukaryotic small subunit ribosomal RNA", at positions 1786 to 1831 of the family's 1831-position model. Lineage: Eukaryota; Fungi. The record is from RNAcentral.